This 228-nucleotide long non-coding RNA is filed under the name Drosophila guanche. Lineage: Eukaryota; Metazoa; Arthropoda; Insecta; Diptera; Drosophilidae. The record is from RNAcentral.
CAGCAGCAGCAAACGUUGACUGCGGCAGCGCGAAAGAUGCCACCAAUCCCAGCAGCAGCAAACAGCCAAAGCGGUCAGUGGCAGUGGGAAUGGCAGUUGGCGGGUGGCAGAUGAUAAAACAUUACCCAUCGCCACAGUGUACAGAGGUACUACGUGCAACGACAGCAGCAGCAGCAGCAGCAGCAGCAGCAACGGCAGCAGCAUUUGGCCCAACCUCUUCUUCACGAC